This is a small nucleolar RNA of Falco tinnunculus (common kestrel), 211 nucleotides long. Its record names the gene U3. It matches the Rfam family "Small nucleolar RNA U3". From Rfam's summary of the family: Small nucleolar RNAs (snoRNAs) are involved in the processing and modification of rRNA in the nucleolus. There are two main classes of snoRNAs: the box C/D class, and the box H/ACA class. NCBI's taxonomy places the organism in Eukaryota, Metazoa, Chordata, Aves, Falconiformes, Falconidae. The record is from Ensembl.
AAGACUAUACUUUCAGGGAUCAUUUCUGUAGUUGGUCACUAGAGGAGAGUGAUCUUCCCUGAUCGGCGUCACAAGCCACGAGGAGGAUGGUUGUGCUUUCUCCUGAGCGCGAAGCGGGUGUGCGGUGCUGCUUGUGCAGGGACCGCCCACCAUUGAUGACCGUUCCCGCCUCCCUCGGGGGGCGGGAGGGAGAGAGCACGGGCUGAGUGGU